UACGUAGGUGGCAAGCGUUGUCCGGAAUUAUUGGGCGUAAAGCGCGCGCAGGUGGUUUCUUAAGUCUGAUGUGAAAGCCCACGGCUCAACCGUGGAGGGUCAUUGGAAACUGGGGAACUUGAGUGCAGGAGAGAAGAGUGGAAUUCCACGUGUAGCGGUGAAAUUCGUAGAUAUCGGGUAGAACACCAGUGGCGAAGGCGGCUAUCUGGACGGACACUGACGCUGAGACGCGAAAGCUAGGGGAGCGAACAGG
Molecule: ribosomal RNA, 253 nt
Filed under: uncultured bacterium
Lineage: Bacteria
Description: partial 16S ribosomal RNA
Rfam family: Bacterial small subunit ribosomal RNA
Source: RNAcentral